Long non-coding RNA from Neopsephotus bourkii (Bourke's parrot), 348 nucleotides. RefSeq lists it as uncharacterized. The record is from RefSeq and is a predicted model, not a curated record. Lineage: Eukaryota; Metazoa; Chordata; Aves; Psittaciformes; Psittacidae. The transcript is spliced from 2 exons.
UGCAUCUUGGUGGAUUGCUUUCUAAAAUGUGGGAGAGAAAAAAGAGCAUGUGGAAGAACUGUGUCCAUACAGGAAUACGGUUGGAAAGGAAGGUAUAACAAACCAGCUUCUGAUUCCUUGUGUUGGAUUGUGCCUUUCAGUGUCACUUUUGACGGCUAACAGUUCUUUCUAGCAACUUCUGGGAUACAAAAUCCUCCUGCAGACUACUACCUAUGAGCAGCUACAGCAGCAGCUUAUUUAUGCCUGUUAAACCAGAAGUUCUGCCUGUUGUUUUUCCUGCCUUCAUCACUUUCCACUGCUAUAGUCUAGCUAUGUUAUACCAGGACAUUAAACAUUCAGCAAACAGAA